AAAAUCAAAGAAGUAAAUUACCUUUUACCAGUUACUAGGUAGAUUAACACAGGUAAAGUACUCAACAACAAGAAGAAUAUUACCAGUUACUGGGUAAUAAAGUCUUGGGAGACCAAAAGAUCUAUCUAGGUAUGAACUAGAAAGAAACAGUCAAAUAAGACUCAACCCAAUGAGGGUAUAGCUCAAGGGCAGUGGUUCCAUCUAGAUAAUGAACUGGGGAGGAAACUGAAAUAAUAAUCGUC
This 242-nucleotide long non-coding RNA is filed under the name Lathyrus oleraceus (garden pea). RNAcentral describes it as "Pisum sativum (pea) long non-coding RNA (PSAT_LNC037976)". The record is from RNAcentral. Lineage: Eukaryota; Viridiplantae; Streptophyta; Magnoliopsida; Fabales; Fabaceae.